RNAcentral lists this ribosomal RNA (333 nucleotides) under uncultured soil bacterium. Its description in RNAcentral is "bacterial SSU rRNA". It matches the Rfam family "Bacterial small subunit ribosomal RNA", at positions 26 to 372 of the family's 1533-position model. The record is from RNAcentral.
AGCCUGAACGCUGGCGGCGUGGCUAAGACAUGCAAAUCGUACGGACCCGCAAGGGUCAGUGGCGAACGGGUGAGUAAUGAAUCGCUAAUGUGCCCCGGACUCAGGGAUAGCUACUCGAAAGGGUAGGUAAUACCUGAUGACAUAACCUUGUCGCAUGGCAGGGUUCUCAAAGGUCCGCCGGUCUGGGAGCAGGCGAUUUCGAUCAGCUAGUUGGUGAGGUAACGGCUCACCAAGGCGACGACGCGUAGCCGGACUGAGAGGUUGGCCGGCCACAUUGGGACUGAGACACUGCCCAGACUCCUACGGGGGCUGCAGUAACGAAUCUUCCGCAAU